This 445-nucleotide ribosomal RNA is filed under the name uncultured bacterium. RNAcentral's name for it is "partial 16S ribosomal RNA". It matches the Rfam family "Bacterial small subunit ribosomal RNA", at positions 354 to 796 of the family's 1533-position model. The record is from RNAcentral.
GUGAGGAAUAUUGGACAAUGGGCGCAAGCCUGAUCCAGCCAUGCCGCGUGCAGGAAGACGCAUCUAUGGUGUGUAAACUGCUUUUGUACGGGAAGAAACACUCCCUCGUGAGGGAGCUUGACGGUACCGUAAGAAUAAGGAUCGGCUAACUCCGUGCCAGCAGCCGCGGUAAUACGGAGGAUCCAAGCGUUAUCUGGAAUCAUUGGGUUUACAGGGUCCGUAGGCGGUUUAAUAAGUCAGUGGUGAAAGCCCAUCGCUCAACGAUGGAACGGCCAUUGAUACUGUUAGACUUGAAUUACAAGGAAGUAACUAGAAUAUGUAGUGUAGCGGUGAAAUGCUUAGAUAUUACAUGGAAUACCAAUUGCGAAGGCAGGUUACUACUUGUGGAUUGACGCUGAUGGACGAAAGCGUGGGGAGCGAACAGGAUUAGAAACCUCGGUAGUCC